RNAcentral lists this ribosomal RNA (301 nucleotides) under uncultured bacterium. RNAcentral's name for it is "partial 16S ribosomal RNA". It matches the Rfam family "Bacterial small subunit ribosomal RNA", at positions 509 to 807 of the family's 1533-position model. The record is from RNAcentral.
CAGUAGCCACGGUAAUACGGAGGAUCCAAGCGUUAUCCGGAAUCAUUGGGUUUAAAGGGUCCGUAGGCGGUUUAGUAAGUCAGUGGUGAAAGCCCAUCGCUCAACGGUGGAACGGCCAUUGAUACUGCUGAACUUGAAUUAUUAGGAAGUAACUAGAAUAUGUAGUGUAGCGGUGAAAUGCUUAGAGAUUACAUGGAAUACCAAUUGCGAAGGCAGGUUACUACUAAUUGAUUGACGCUGAUGGACGAAAGCGUGGGGGGCGAACAGGAUUAGAUACCCCUGUAGUCCCUGUCUCUUAUAC